UUGUUCAACAUUUUUCUGGAUCCCGUUGUAUGUACAAUGUACAUACAUGUAUUCAAAUGUUUCUUUGGCAAAGUUUAAUUUCAAAACGCCUGGUAACAUUUAAAAUUGCUAGAAAUUUUAAAUAAUUUUAAAUAUAAAGACUAUAGGAGAUGAUGCUACAUCUACGUUUUUGAUUUUUAAAUUUAAUCCUGGAGCUAAAUGUGUGUUUUUUCAUCUUCUUCAUAAUUUUAAAAAUAUUGCUUCUUGCAAUAUUAAAAUAUUGUUUAUCUUAACAGUUAUACUGUAUUGCUUUGCCAUUUGUAAAACUCCAUCAACCAUGAGUAUCUUUAGGCUUAAUAGACUUUAACUGCUUUGUAUUAAAAUAUUCCUCUCUAGUCAUAAAGUGACAUUAAAAUAACAGAUAAAAAACAACAGAAAUAUAUUUAUGUGCUUACAUAUUCAAUAACAUCUUUCACAGUACUUUCACAGAAAAAUAUUUAAUUCUCUAAAAAGGAUAAAGAUACAUUUUUUAAUAUUUUUGUACCACUACGUGCUGUCAUUUGCUUUCACUUCAAAUACGGUUUGAUUCAAUUGGAUCUGUCUCGAAGCACGUCAAGAGGUUUAGAAUGCAGUAAAGCUUCUCAUAGAUGAAGAAGAGGAUAUUGCGUGCGAUCACAUUGCACUGUUUAAUAGGAGGGGGGAACAAUGGACAGGACCAGGAAAGAUGGCGAACGAUCAGGAAAUUCUAUUACCUUGACAGGUCUUCCAAUCAUCCUCUAGGAUGAAACCAUCAGGGCAGAGACAAAAUACUCGUCCCAUCGUGG
Long non-coding RNA from Bombus huntii, 803 nucleotides. RefSeq lists it as uncharacterized. Lineage: Eukaryota; Metazoa; Arthropoda; Insecta; Hymenoptera; Apidae. The transcript is spliced from 3 exons. The record is from RefSeq and is a predicted model, not a curated record.